GAAGAUGGAAUUCCAGGUGUAGCGGUAAAAUGCGCAGAUAUCUGGAGGAACACCAGUGGCGAAAGCGGUCUUCUAGGUCAAUACUGACACUCAGACGCGAAAGCUAGGGUAGCAAACGGGAUUAGAGACCCCGGUAGUCCUAGCCCUAAACGAUGUAGACUAGGCGUUGGUGGCUUAAUCGCCAUCAGUGUCCAAGCUAACGCGAUAAGUCUACCGCCUGGGGACUACGGCCGCAAGGUUAAAACUCAAAGGAAUUGACGGGUCCCCGCACAAGCAGCGGAGCGUGUGGUUUAAUUCGUUGCUACACGAAGAACCUUACCUGGGUUUGACAUAGCAGUGGUAGGGAAGCGAAAGCGGACCGACCCUUCGGGGAGCUGUUACAGGUGUUGCAUGGCUGUCGUCAGCUCGUGUCGUGAGAUGUUCGGUUAAGUCCGCUAACGAGCGCAACCCGCGUGAUGUGUUACAAGUGUCACAUCAUACUGCCGAUAUUAAGUCGGAGGAAGGUGCGGAUGACGUCAAGUCAGCAUGACCUUUAUAUCCAGGGCUACACACACGCUACAAUGGUCGGUACAACAGGUUGCCAAGCCGCGAGGCGGAGCCAAUCCUCUAAAGCCGACCUCAGUUCAGAUUGCAGGCUGCAACUCGCCUGCAUGAAGUUGGAGUUGCUAGUAACCGUAGGUCAGCUAUACUGCGGUGAAUACGUUCCCGGGGAUUGUACACACCGCCCGUCAAGUCAUGGGGGCUGGCAACACCUGAAGCUGGUAUCCUAACCCGUAAGGGAGGGAGCUAUCAAAGGUGGGGUCGGUGACUGGGUUCUAAGUCGUAACAAGGUA
This 833-nucleotide ribosomal RNA is filed under the name uncultured bacterium. RNAcentral describes it as "bacterial SSU rRNA". It matches the Rfam family "Bacterial small subunit ribosomal RNA", at positions 657 to 1498 of the family's 1533-position model. The record is from RNAcentral.